CUACGUCACGCAAAGGCGAUAGUAUCGCUGGAGUGACAGUCGCAAAAUACGUCCCCUAGUCUUGCUGCGAAAACGUGUCGCUCGCCUGCCGAUGACAGCCCCCUGCAACGCCCUGCAACUUCAUGGUGGUUCAUGAGGUACGCCGUAGCCUAGAGCUCUCGAAUAACUCUGGUCACCUGGGGUUCGUCAACGUGCACUCAAUAAACGGUACACGGACCGGUAGCGCCUGUCCUGCCUUCGGACACGGUGCGAAGGCCUGAUACGCGCGGCAGAGAAGAACAGAAGAUUGUGACCAGCCUGAUGCCCACAGCGAUAACGAAUUAUCUGAAAAUUAAGCUAGUUAACACACUGGUGUGAUAUUCCCCAUCAAAGUCAACCUUCUGCCUAUCGGGGAAAAGCUUCCGCGCCCUUAAUUUCCCUUUUCAAAAGAAGUUUCAUUGCUUCAUCAUCUCAUGCGGCAGUUAACCGAUGCAUGUGCUAUGUAAACGCGACACAACGUGAAAAGAUUCGACCGCUUCCGAUCUUCUUGCGUGUUACAAACACGAUGGUUUGGUGCACGUUCAUCUUCAGCACGUGCCGUAUAUCUCGGCGGUUGCCCUGCUAGAUCUGCUGGAGAGUCCGUUCGAGUGUAGCCGAUAACUGCGCAUGCCCAUUCAUUCUUUUGUGACCGUGCAGCAGCAGAAGCGCGCGCACAAGUGUGGUGCUGGACGUGUGAAAUAGACGCGGCAAGGUUGGGCAUUUUCUGGAGCGCGUCACAGUUUCAGUGCCUCGACCGGUAGCGCCUGUCCUGCCUUCGGAUGCUGGGCUGCCCGGGAUGAACACCGCAGACCUGCAUUUUACAUCAGCGCUAUGGCGCGACGUUCUUCUUCUAUGGAGCUGUGUGGAGGACAGUGGUACCCGGUAUUUCCUUAACUAUGUAGCGCUGAACGAACGUCGGUUCCACGCGCGUUUCUUUUUGAGCGCCAGCUCCGGAUUGUCGCACAAGAAACGGCUGAGGUGCCAGAGGUCUUCUGCGUUACAUUCUACGACCUUCUCCACGAGAGGCGUCAAGUCUUCGACGGACAUGACAGAACGCUAGAGUAAUAUUCCAAGGCGCACUGGGACCCGUGUCGCUACCAACUUCGGAAGUGCCAGGACAAGUACCGCGCACAGGAACACCCCGAAUUCCGUAACAGGAAGAACGCCGGCUGAGCUGUUCCUGAAACGACAACCUCGAGUGAAGCUUUCACUCCUGAAGCCAAGUUUUGUGCAGGAUAUGCGCAGCCGUCAAGACAGAGACAUCACCCAUCGCAACGAUGGCAGAGGAAGGGACCCGCGGAUGGAAGCCAGUGACGCAGUUCUCGUCAAGACUACGAGAGGGGAAACCCUGUCAUUGGAGGAAGCUGUCGUAGUGCAACGCGUAAGCGACUUGACGUUCGUAUUCAAAGUCGGCGACCAUUUUCGUUUUGUGCAUGUCGACCACUUGAGACCCAGCUGGAUUUCGGGACCAAACACUUCAUUCCAUCCGGACGUCGUAAAAGAAGCGCAUCCUGAGUCCACUUCAAGUGCCCGUAUUCAGCGAGGUUUUCUAUCAACACCCUGGGAAGAAAAUUCCCCUGCUGACACCAUGAUUAGUGGUCCUACUGCGGACCAGCUUGAGGGUGUUCGCUUAGAUGACUCCACUUCAACUAAGGAACCGGCAUCGCAGCCUGAGGCAAGACACUCAGAAGCGCAGCCUGCAAGUAUCACCGCAUCAACCAUGGCAUCACCUGAAGAGGCCCAUUUGCGAAUUAGUAAUCGCACAAGGCGUCCUCCUGAUCGCUAUGAAGCCUCCAA
Molecule: long non-coding RNA, 1815 nt
Organism: Dermacentor albipictus
Lineage: Eukaryota; Metazoa; Arthropoda; Arachnida; Ixodida; Ixodidae
Source: RefSeq, a predicted model, not a curated record